CAAAAAGAGUCCUCAGUGGGGAGGCAGCUGCUAUGAGAAUAAAAAAAUUUCUUUACCCUUCCACCAGGAACGAAAGGCAGGCUGAGGUGGUAGAUCUCCAUCUUUUAUUAACAAUAAACUGUUGAAGUGGCUCAAGUCACCACAUGCAGCUGUACUGUGGGGCUUCCAGGUUCUGUAGUGGUACUCACAUAAUGAGAGAUUGCAAACUGUGGCUAGUUAACCCCUGGUGAAGAAAGUAGAAAUUACUGCAGCUGAUGUAUGCAAGCUUACAUUACUGAGUUGCUAUCCUCACCUGUUCCUGUGGCAUUUUACAUUAAUUGAGGGAACAAGGAGAACAAUUCUUUAAGACCCAUUUUGUAAUGCAAAACUGAAAGAUGGAAGCCUAGAGCAAAUAAGAACAAAUUAUUGUUAAAGAGUACUGUGAAGUUAACAAUGUUCUAGCGGAUGUAGUUAUUGUAGGAAAUAAUUAAUUCUAUGGUAGAAAAAGCUUAACAUCUGUCCAUCACUGUGUAAUAUAUGCAGUCAUGUGAAAUGACACAUACCUUCAUAUGAAUUAAUUGAUCACUUCUGAAUCAACACAGAAUACUAAAAAGGCAGCUAAUUAUUCAGCACCUCCAUCUCAAGCUUCAGUUACAAGUCUCUGGUAGGUUUCUGGGACUGGAGGAAGUGUCCCAAUGCUUGGGUGUUAGCUCUGCCAUGAGACUUACAUCAUAGACCCUCCUUAUUUCUCAACUUUUUCCAUGCAAAAUUUGUUUAUUCCCAAGUUGGAGGAUGUUCUGCUAAAUACCAGCUGGACCAAAGAAGUGGAUCCAGACCAAAAUAAUUGAAAUGGGGUUAUUUUAUUUUUCAGUCAUGAUUACCAGUAUUGAGGGAUCUGCUGUUGCUGAUAUCUAUGCAGAUCUGUGGUCUUGGAUAAAUCUUAGUGAUGCUUGUGAUAUGUCCAGUUGGACAUACUCAUUUCUUUUAGACUUUGCAUUAAUUUUAUGUUUACUUUGGGGACAGUUGGUUAGUUCUAAAUGGUUAAUUAACAUAACAAGAAUAAACUCAGUAAGCAUGAAUGUAGGAUUACAAUUGCCAAAAUUUCUGUCUUCUGCAGAAUGAAUUGAAUUGUGCUUGGUAUUGACUGUUUAUUCAUUAUGUUGAGAUGACCUGAGAGGUACCAGCAAGUUGUCUGCGUAGAUCAAGCACGUAUAUGACAUUUGCACACUUUUUGUUUAUGCAGAAAUUUGGUCUUUGGUCUUUCUCAUGUUUGGAAGCGAGCUGUUCAAAGACAUUUACAUCUUUGAUAAUAACAUUAAUGAGAAUAAAGUAAAAUGAUGUUUUGAA
This is a long non-coding RNA of Cygnus olor (mute swan), 1326 nucleotides long. RefSeq lists it as uncharacterized. The record is from RefSeq and is a predicted model, not a curated record. NCBI's taxonomy places the organism in Eukaryota, Metazoa, Chordata, Aves, Anseriformes, Anatidae. The transcript has 2 exons.